Long non-coding RNA from Sipha flava (yellow sugarcane aphid), 661 nucleotides. RefSeq lists it as uncharacterized. The record is from RefSeq and is a predicted model, not a curated record. NCBI's taxonomy places the organism in Eukaryota, Metazoa, Arthropoda, Insecta, Hemiptera, Aphididae. The transcript is spliced from 3 exons.
GUUGCGGUAUAACAAAUAAUUAAAACACAACCAGGAAGUUCUUUAAAAUGCAAAAAAAAUGAGAUGAUAUUACUGGUUUGAACAUCAAUUUAAUCAAAUGAUUUGGAACGAUUUUAACUGUCAUGGAAAGUGGAUAUGAAAUAAAUACAGAUUCUUUUGAAACGUAUGGUAUCCAAACAGCUAAACUAUUUGAUGAACUCUACCCCUGGUACUGUAUGCCUCCAUCUGUACAUAACAUUUUAUUUCAUGGAGCUGAUGUUAUCCGGCAUGCAAUUUUGCCAAUUAGCCAAUUGUCUGAAGAAGCUCAAUAAUGCCAAAACAAAAAUUACAAAAACUACAGGGAACAUCACAAAAGAAAAUUAUCCAGAGUGAAAAUUUAUGAAGAUCUCAUUAACAUGUUGCUACAUUAAUACCGUCAAUGCAAAACAUUCAACCCAAAAUAUUGCAAACAUUUUCAGACGAUGCAAAACUUUUAAUAAUAAUGCCUGAAGAGCAAGCAAGUGAUUCUAACCACUGUGCGCCGUCGCCGCCUGCAAAUGGGACUUUAAGAUUAUAUAAUUACUCCGUGAAAUUACUAUUGUUUUCUUUAGUUGAUAUUUGCUGAGUCAAAUGACAAUUACAUUAAUAUUUAUUAUGCUCAAUAUUAUAUAAGAUGAUUAAA